CGCGGGUCGUGGGGAGCGCCACU
This 23-nucleotide microRNA is filed under the name Magallana gigas (Pacific oyster). Its description in RNAcentral is "Mgi-Mir-1986_5p* (star (passenger))". The record is from RNAcentral. Lineage: Eukaryota; Metazoa; Mollusca; Bivalvia; Ostreida; Ostreidae.